GACGAACGCUGGCGGCGUGCCUAAUACAUGCAAGUCGAGCGCUUGCACCCGGUGGUCCUCUUCGGUGGAAGAGCGGGGAAUGGAGCGGUGGCCGGGUGAGUAACACGUUUGCAACCUGGCCUCCAGACGGGAAUAGCAUGCGGAUACCGGAUCUAAUCCCCAAUCAUCAAGCCGAUGUUCUGAUCGUCCUGUAGCAGCACUGUCUUCGGACCAUGCACUGGAUGAUCGGGCCGCGGUGUAUUAGCUAGUUGGAGAGGUAAAGGCACAGCAAGGCGACGAUACAUAGCCGACCUGAGAGGGUGAUCGGCCACACUGGGACUGAGACACGGCCCAGACUCCUACGGGAGGCAGCAGUAGGGAAUCGUCCGCAAUGGACGAAAGUCUGACCGAGCAACGCCGCGUGAGUGAUGAAGGUUUUCGGAUCGUAAAACUCUGUUGGUAGAGAAGAACGAGGGCGGGAGUAGAAGGCUCGUCAAGUGACGGUAACUAACCAGAAAGCGACGGCUAACUACGUG
RNAcentral lists this ribosomal RNA (515 nucleotides) under uncultured bacterium. RNAcentral's name for it is "partial 16S ribosomal RNA". It matches the Rfam family "Bacterial small subunit ribosomal RNA", at positions 28 to 507 of the family's 1533-position model. The record is from RNAcentral.